Molecule: ribosomal RNA, 118 nt
Filed under: Diaphorina citri (Asian citrus psyllid)
Lineage: Eukaryota; Metazoa; Arthropoda; Insecta; Hemiptera; Psyllidae
Source: RNAcentral
ACCAGCGACGAUAGCAGGUUGAAUGUUCCAGUUCUCAAUGGAUCACUGAAGUUAAGCAACGUUGCGCGUAGUUAGUAUCCGUAUGGGUGACCAUCAGGGCAAUCACAUGUUACUGGUU